AGAUAGAGGCGCGGGGUUCAUCAGUAAGCUCCUGCUGGAAAGCAGCUUUUGCGGGAGACGAAAGGGGACGCCGCCGAAGCGGGGAAGACACAGCUGCGUGUCGCACCGCUGGGCCGUCGGAUAAGAUCCGCCGGACUGUCACGCGAGUGGAGCGCUAUCGA
Molecule: non-coding RNA, 161 nt
Filed under: bovine gut metagenome
Description: Lysine riboswitch
Rfam family: Lysine riboswitch aptamer
About the family: Riboswitches are metabolite binding domains within certain messenger RNAs that serve as precision sensors for their corresponding targets. Allosteric rearrangement of mRNA structure is mediated by ligand binding, and this results in modulation of gene expression.
Source: RNAcentral